Non-coding RNA from Schistosoma mattheei, 177 nucleotides. Lineage: Eukaryota; Metazoa; Platyhelminthes; Trematoda; Strigeidida; Schistosomatidae. The record is from Rfam.
ACGACAAUCUCGGCUCUCUAAGCUAAAAUCAUGUGUGGUAAUUUCUGCAACGGUCUCUAAACUGAGACCAAUGAAAUUACCUGUAUUUUUCACCUCCGGACGGGUGCUGUGAGCUUACUCAACCCCGUCCACGGGUCGGCCUCGUAUUGCAUUAUCUCAAGGAUUGGCUAGCCCCCA